CUGCAGCCAGUUAAGCUGACUGUCUCCUUCUCCCUGUUGGGGCCCAGUGUGCAGAGGAUGUAGACAGCAGCCUCCUUGAUAGUAUACAUUGCCUGUUGUUUGUAUCGAUUGCCCUAAGGAACCUUGGAGACAGCU
RNAcentral lists this small nucleolar RNA (135 nucleotides) under Dasypus novemcinctus (nine-banded armadillo). RNAcentral describes it as "Small nucleolar RNA SNORA70 (ENSDNOG00000040035.1)". It matches the Rfam family "Small nucleolar RNA SNORA70". Rfam says of the family: snoRNA U70 seems to be exclusive to mammals and is a member of the H/ACA class of snoRNA which contain H (ANANNA) and ACA box motifs. H/ACA box snoRNAs are involved in the conversion of uridines to pseudouridines (5-ribosyluracil) a constituent of structural RNAs (transfer, ribosomal, small nuclear, and small nucleolar). Lineage: Eukaryota; Metazoa; Chordata; Mammalia; Cingulata; Dasypodidae. The record is from RNAcentral.